AUGAGUCUGCUCUGUUGGAAUUGCUGGGGGAUUAGCAGCGACCCGACAAUUCAAAAAUUGCGUGAAUUCAUAAAUAAGUUUGCUCCUAGAGUACUUUGUAUAGUUGAGACCCAGCUCAGUGGGGAAAGAGUUGAAAAUUUAAAAAGUACUUUAGGUUUUGAUAGUUCUUUUGAUGUGGAUGCCUCUGGUAGAAGCGGAGGUUUAGCUAUGUUUUGGAAUAAUGAAAUAAACAUUGAGAUUUUGGGCUACUCGAAAUACCACAUUGAUAGUAGAGUAACUGGUAUAGGUGACCAGCCGUGGAGACUCUCUUGUUUCUACGGAGAAGCACAAACACAUCUUCGUCACCACACUUGGGAUACUAUGAAAAAUUUAUCUACACUCCAGGAUGUGCCGUGGGUGUGUAUUGGAGACUUUAAUGAGGUCCUAAAGCAUGAUGACCAUGAUGGCAUUGGCUCGAGGAUUCAAGCGCAAAUCCAGGGCUUUAGAGAUGCAGUGGAUGUUUGUGGUUUGGUUGAUCUUGGUUUCAAAGGUACAAGAUGGACUUUUGAGAAGAAAAUAACUGCUGGCUCAUAUACCCGUGUCAGGUUGGAUAGAGCAUUGGGUUCAGUUGAUUGGUGCGUACUGUUUCCUUCAGCGGCCGUGGUGUCACGACCGGUUUUCCAAUAA
Molecule: ribosomal RNA, 666 nt
Filed under: Triticum aestivum (bread wheat)
Lineage: Eukaryota; Viridiplantae; Streptophyta; Magnoliopsida; Poales; Poaceae
Description: partial small subunit ribosomal RNA
Source: RNAcentral